This 451-nucleotide unclassified non-coding RNA is filed under the name Hevea brasiliensis (rubber tree). The record is from RNAcentral. Lineage: Eukaryota; Viridiplantae; Streptophyta; Magnoliopsida; Malpighiales; Euphorbiaceae.
GGCGACAGCCACCAGACGAGCAGCGAGCGGCAUGAACACCAACAGCUUCAGCGCCAUCUUCUUCCCUCUCCUCUUCUCCGUCAUCUUUCCUCUUUUCCUUUCUUUUCCGCCUUCUUUUCUCCAUCGCUGGCAGCACUCAGGCGAGCUGCCAGGCAACAGAGAAGCAGCAACUAGAGAAGCGCAUGGCGAUGGCCACCACCAGCAAGUCCAGUCAGGCGAACUCCGGCCAGCAGGCUCCACCGACGACCAGCAUCGGCGACUCCAUUGGCGAGCAGACGAAACUCCAGCAGCCACCAAGCGAGGUUUCCAGGCGACCACAAGCUCAUAAUCAAGGCCAGCGCCAGCAACGCCUACGACGAACAAUCAUCAACAACAUCGAUAUCCGGUGAAGAUAUAAUAAGGACGGAUCUAUUUAGAUCCUUCGAGUUAUUUGAUUACUUUGACGUUUCAA